AACGAACGCUGGCGGCAUGCCUAACACAUGCAAGUCGAACGAGACCUUCGGGUCUAGUGGCGCACGGGUGCGUAACGCGUGGGAACCUGCCCUUAGGUUCGGAAUAACUCCCCGAAAGGGGUGCUAAUACCGGAUAAUGUCUUCGGACCAAAGAUUUAUCGCCUUUGGGUGGGCCCGCGUUGGAUUAGCUAGUUGGUAGGGUAAAAGCCUACCAAGGCGACGAUCCAUAGCUGGUCUGAGAGGAUGAUCAGCCACACUGGGACUGAGACACGGCCCAGACUCCUACGGGAGGCAGCAGUGGGGAAUAUUGGACAAUGGGCGAAGGCCUGAUCCAGCAAUGCCGCGUGAGUGAUGAAGGGCUUAGGGUUGUAAAGCUCUUUUACCCGGGACGAUAAUGACGGUACCGGGAGAAUAAGCGCCGGCUAACUCCGUG
Molecule: ribosomal RNA, 433 nt
Filed under: uncultured bacterium
Lineage: Bacteria
Description: partial 16S ribosomal RNA
Rfam family: Bacterial small subunit ribosomal RNA
Source: RNAcentral